UGAUUUUUCACUAUCAAAAGACCAAAAAAGCACGCAAAACGAAACGCCGCUACAAAAACAAUAUUGUUUCUUUCUACACCGAUUCUUUGCUCUUUUAACUUUUGUCUUUCCUCUCUCUUUCUCUAUUCUGUUCUCCGGCUUGCUGCCACCGUUCGUAUUCAGACCUACUGUCAGGUACUUUCUUAGCCUUGAGUAGCAAGUGAUUGUAGAAAUAUGUAAAUUCAAGGAUUGGUUGAAUACAUGCUGCUUUGAGCUUAACUCCUUUUGAUCCCCCUGUUACUUUAGUGUUCUGCAAUAGAUAUGUAAUUUUGCCUGUUGAUCAAGUUAUUCAUCCACACAUUUAAUGCUAUGUAUAUUCAAUUGUCAUAGGCAUAAGCAGCUGGAUAUGUAUGUCUGACAGUAGGUGAUACUAGUUUGCCAGGCAUGUUCUAUUUUUGUAUUUGUUCCUGAAUGUGCUUUAAAUGUCCUUUGGAACGAUUCUUUGAAACUCAUGAAAAACCAGAACUUAACCUACUGGGAAUUAUCAUAGUCAGCUUUAUUCAAUUCAGCA
Molecule: long non-coding RNA, 550 nt
Organism: Nicotiana attenuata
Lineage: Eukaryota; Viridiplantae; Streptophyta; Magnoliopsida; Solanales; Solanaceae
Exons: 2
Source: RefSeq, a predicted model, not a curated record